CAUAAAUGUAAGAUUAUCUUACAGAUAGUACUUGCAGUUUAAUGAUGAAAUAAUAGUAUUAUUAGAGGGA
This 70-nucleotide transfer RNA is filed under the name Crocothemis servilia. Its description in RNAcentral is "tRNA-Val". The record is from RNAcentral. Lineage: Eukaryota; Metazoa; Arthropoda; Insecta; Odonata; Libellulidae.